GUCCUAGCCCUAAACGAUGCUCAUUAGGUGUGGGGGGUAUCGACCCCCUCCGCGCCGAAGCUAACGCAUUAAAUGAGCCGCCUGGGGAGUACGGCCGCAAGGUUGAAACUCAAAGGAAUUGACGGGGGCCCGCACAAGCGGUGGAGCAUGUGGUUUAAUUCGACGCAACGCGAAGAACCUUACCUGGGCUUGAACUACUGGUAGUAAGUCGUUGGAAACAUCGACUGAUCCGCAAGGAAGCCAGCAGAGGUGCUGCAUGGUUGUCGU
This 267-nucleotide ribosomal RNA is filed under the name uncultured bacterium. RNAcentral's name for it is "partial 16S ribosomal RNA". It matches the Rfam family "Bacterial small subunit ribosomal RNA", at positions 793 to 1055 of the family's 1533-position model. The record is from RNAcentral.